UUCGACUGGGAGACCGUGUCGCCUUGCAUGCUGGGAUGUGUAGUCCCGGUCGCAGUGCGGGCUGGGAGCCGGCUUUGUCUUGGGGGACUCGCGUGAGAGGGGGAGCUUCCCUUUAUCGCUUUUCGCUCGUUUUCCAGCCACAGCGUUAUUUUGUUUGCCUGCUUGUUCGCACAUGGGAGAAAAAGCAAAGGGACAAAGAGGAUCCUGUGUCUUCUCUAUUCUGAACUAUAAUGGGGAUACUGAAACCCCCAGGUGGAAGAAGUUAACUACCUGAUGACCAGGCUGUAGCCAUGACAGAAGCUGCCACAAUUCUGAGGACUGGCCUCAAAGAAAUGGGAACAAACUGACCCUGGAACUAGAGACUAACUGCAUUUAAAACAAUCGCGAUGACGCUGGUCAGACCACUGCAUGACUGACUUCAAGAUGCCUGUCAGAGCUGCCUGUGACUGUGCUCUUUCUCCAGGUAGCCCCCUCCCUCCAUGUGUACAGCUCUUGCCCCCUGAUUGUCUGUGAGGGGAAUUGGCCUUUGGAGAGGGGUCUGCCCUCCCUCAGAACUGCCCACCCCAGUUCCGGUUGCUGACCUCCAAAAUAAAGCAAACUUCCCUUUCCACCAA
Molecule: long non-coding RNA, 614 nt
Organism: Balaenoptera ricei (Rice's whale)
Lineage: Eukaryota; Metazoa; Chordata; Mammalia; Artiodactyla; Balaenopteridae
Exons: 3
Source: RefSeq, a predicted model, not a curated record